This 15404-nucleotide long non-coding RNA is filed under the name Lupinus angustifolius (narrow-leaved blue lupine). RNAcentral describes it as "long non-coding RNA (LANG_LNC001316)". The record is from RNAcentral. Lineage: Eukaryota; Viridiplantae; Streptophyta; Magnoliopsida; Fabales; Fabaceae.
AAUCAUUUUUAUUGACGUUGAGUUGUGUUUGUUGGAGAUGGCUAAGCUUACUUUAAUGCAUAUUUUCGCUCUUUUCCUUUUGCUUGCAGGUUUAUUCUAGAUAGUGUAACAAUAUCUGCUUUCUUGAUAUUUAUCUAUGUAUGAUUUGCAAAACAUAUCACAGUUUAAUCACCAAUGCUAUUUGUAUAAGUGAUGGGACACUUUGGUUUUUAUAUCACAUGAUAAGAGUACAUUAUUUUAUGAAAUGAAAACUCAUGUGACAUAUUAAAUUAAAAUUUGAUGAGAGUUAGCAUGCCUAAACUUAUAAUGCUUGCAUGUGGUAACUUUGUUUUUGAAAUUUCAGGUACUUUCAUCACAAGUGAAGCAAAUAGAGGUAGUACGGGGCCACCACCUAGAAGAAAGACAGUACGGCUUACUACAGGUGGUUGCAAUCCUGUAAGAUGUCAAAGUGAAUGUGAAAUGAUGUAUGGUGCCACUCGUUAUAAUAUACGGGGUGAUUGCGUUAACACCAAUUGCAUGUGUACUUAUGAUGCCUGAUAUGUUUGUACCCUUCUUAAAUGAAGAGUGAAUAAAAACUGAUUAUGUAUUGAAUUGGAACCUUGGACUAUCUAAUUCUCACAUUCUCGUUGGCAUUGGCAUGAUGUUAUUUUGAUCAGAUUACUGUAGUCAAAUGAAAACUAUUUAUAAGAACACGAAUUAAAACGAUUUGGCGCACAUCAAAAAAAUUGUUGUCCAUUGUAUUAUUUACUAAAAUAUUUAAAUUUAAAGGAUUAACUCAUUGGCAAGAUUUGUUGCACAUAAUGUAAAUUCUUGAAGUACUAAAAUUAAUCUUAAAAGAUAUGUGAUUCACACUAUUUGUUGUCCACUAUUUGUUGUCCAUUAUUCACACUAUUUGUUGUCCAUUAUUAGUUGAAAAGCUUGGUUGUGUUUCUUCGAUCAUCUUUUGUUAACAUUUUCACUAAAAAUGGAGAAUAAAUAUGAAAAUGUGCUUGAGUGGUUACUUACAUUAUUUGAUAUUCUAACAAAUGUGAGCUACAAUUCUAGAAAUCAUAGAAAUUAUAAAACGUUGUUUCCAGUCAUUCCAAGAAUGAGGCAGUGGAGUUUUAGAAACUUUUCAGACAAUUGUAGUAUUCCAAAUGACAUGUUCUUUCACUUUUUAAAAAAAUAUCAAAAACCAAAAUGUCUCGGCUCCAUUGCAACAUUGUACUUUACCUCUUUGUUUUUGUCUCCAUAUGAAUACACUAACUGAGGUUUAUUUCUCUGUUUUCUCAUCUCGAUGUUAGUGGCUUUUAUCUCUAUAUUAAUUAGCAUGGAUUUCGACGUUGUGUCUCCAUUUGUAUAUCCACAUGCUUUCUUAUUUUUUUAUUCUUGUUCACAUGUCCUAAUAGUACUCAGACAUGCGCUAUAUGAUCCCUAGAUUCAGAGGUACCCCGACCAUCAUUAUUUGUUUUCUUUUUAUAUAGUUCAGAAGUUCAGAUAGUAAUUCGACCUAUGUUCUUGGAUGUUUUUAUUAUUUUCCCAAACUUCUAGAUAUACCCAAACAUGUUUUCUUGAUUGUUCUUAUUCCUGCUCCCGAGGUCAAAAUUAAUUGGGCAUCUGUUCUUCAUUGUUUUUCUAACUAUUCCUAUGUUUCAGUAAUACCCAACAUGAGUUCUUUAUUCUAAGGGAAGAGGACCAUUAUCAAUUAUUUUUUUAGAUGGGAUGACAAGUCUGAGAAGUAUUUUUUUAAACUAGUAUAUUCCUAUCCUAAACCCUCUUGUUUUGAUCAUUAAGUAGAUCCCUUAGCCCUCACUUGAAACACACUAAAAAACACCAAAUAACUUAUUUUCUAACCACACAAAAACCAGUGUCAAACAAAUUGUCUAUACAAGUAUGUGCAACCAAUCUACAGUAGAUAGAAUAUGGGCUACCAAUCCAUUAGUGUCUAGCCUCACACUAUCCGGGAAUCCCGUCAUGGCUCUGAUAAUAAUAAAAUGUAACUAAUAAAUCUAAACAAUAAUAAUAACAUAUAAUAUUUUUUCUGUAAUAAAUAAAUAUAUAAAAUAGAGCUUGAACUAUAUAAACUCUUUCAUCUAUUAUCCGCAAUUAAUAUAAAGGUUUAUUAAAAAUAAUUAUAAUAAAGAUGGAGACAAGUUUAAGAUUUCAUCUAUAUUAUUGUAAUAUCUUUGAACAAACCUGAAACCAAGUUUUGUACAUUAAAAUUUAAUUAACAAUUAAAUAUUAAAAAACAUUUUGACAUGAUGAUAACUAAUUUUAAAGAUAGGUAGUAUAAUUAAAUCUUUGAAAUAGGAAUCCAAACAUAGUAAUAAUAAAAGUAUUUUCUUCAGUAAUAAAUAAUGACUGUAAAAUCAAACAAAUAUGAAUAUUUUCUUAAUUGAUUUUAGGAAUAUAAAAAUAAUAGUAACGUUGAAGAUGUAGGAAGGGUUGUGAUGACUAACUUUCUUUUCUCAGCCCAUCCUUUGAAUGGUUGUUGAUAAAUCACAUAUAUUCUUUAAAAUAAUUAAAAGGAGCGAUCCAUCGACCUAUGGAUAAAAGUAUAUGUUAAACAAAUACUUUGAAAUUUAGAAAGGUUCAUAAUUGGUUUUUUUAAUGAAAUAGUCCUUUGUAAUAUAUUAUUUAAAUCAUUUUAUUGGUUGGUUGUGGUAUUUAAUAUGAAAUUAUAGUGAUAACAAUUAUUUAAAAACCAAUUUUUUAAUAAAGCUUGUUAAAAUCCACUUGUAAUGUACUUUUUUAUAGGAAAUUAACAGCAAACUUGUUUGGUUUGGACUAAAUUAAUUUAUAAUAUACAUAUAAUUUUAAUAAUAAUAAGAUUAUACUUUAUUAGAUUAUUUACAAAAGGGUUCAAAAAUAGUAGUAGUUUAUUAUAUUAUGAUCAUAAUUUAUGUUCUUUAAUAAUAUAGUUAUAAUAAAUUAUAAUUUAGUAGAUAUUAAUAUAUUAUAAUUUAUUAGAUAUAAUUUAUUAGAUAUUAAUAAUAUAAUUUAGUAGUAGUGAUAAUAUUAAGUGAUAUUAAUGCUUAUAUUGUGCAAAGAAAUAUUAGCAUUAAACCAUUUUUAUUAACGUUGUGUUUGUUGGAGAUGGCUAAGCUUACUGUAAUGCGUAUUUUCGCCCUUUUCCUUUUGCUUACAGGUUUAUUCUAAAUAGUGCAACAAUAUCUACUUUCUGAAUAUUUAUCUAUGUAUGAUUUGCAAAACUUAUCAUCGUUUAAUCACCAAUGCUACUUCUAUAAUUGAUAGGACACUUUGGUUUUUCUAUCACAUAAUAAGAGUAUAUUGUUUUAUAAAAUGAAAAGUUUUGUGACAUAUUAAAUUAAAAUUUGAUGAGAGUUAACAUGCCUAAAAUUAUAAUUCUUGCCUAUUGUGAACAAUCAUUUUUUCUGUCCCUGAAAAACACCGAAACGUUUUUAAAUAUAAAAUAUAGAAUUCCAAAAAUAAUUUUCCAAAAACAAUAAAACUAAACAUGUUAUGUUAAGGUUCCUAACUCUAAAUGAUUAGGUUAAUCAAAAUUGAAAUUUAAAAUAAUAACACUAAACCAUUUGUUAAAGUUCCUAAAUCUAUGUGAUUAGGUUAACCAAAAUUCAAGUUUAAAGUAAUUGAACUCACAAAGAAAAUGAUUUUUUUAGAGUUAUUCUCAAAAUAAUAAUACUGAAUAUAUAAAAAUAAAAGAUGAGUGAAUUAAAGAGUUGAUUGUAUUAUUAUAUUAAUUUAAGAUUUGAAAUUAUGUAAUUUGAAUCACAUCAUAUCCAUUUUAUUAGUUGCAUGAAUCACCUUGAUAAUAACUAAAUCUUUAAAGAUUCAAAAAUCAAAUCAAGAUUACGAUAUGGAAAAACGCGAAUAAAAUCAAAUCAAAUUAGAAAGUUCAUAUCAAUCUAAUUGUGUUACAUAAAUCAAUUUGAUUAGAAAAUUAAACAUUUAGAGAUUUGGAAUCAAAUAAAUUAAGGUUGCCAAUCAAUCAAAUAAGCUUAAUAUCGCAAUUAGAAAAUAUGCAAAUCAAGUUAAGAUUGGAAAAUUUUAUAUCAAUCUGAUUGUGUUGCAAAAAUAAUUUUGAUUGUAAUAAUUAAUCUUUAAAGAUUUGGUCCUAUGAAAAUUUAAACUUUUAGAGAUUUGGAAUCAAUUAAAUUAAGGAUGCAAUCUGAGAAUUAGAAAAUCAAAUCAAAUCAAUUUGAUCAUGUUUUAAAUAUGAUUUAUUUCCGUUAACCUCCUCUAAUCAAUUAAUGGGAGAUAUAGAAUUUAGUUUCUAGUAUUCAGUUUCAAAUUGAAAGGAUAGGAAUAGCAUGAAAACACUCUGCUAGGGCUCUUCUUCUCUACCUCCAACUUUCUUGGAAGUCCAUUAAUGGCCACAAUGAACGUUGGCACGCCUCUCAUUCCUUGGAACUUCUUAGAUGGCACUGAAUGCCCUCCUGUGAACCCUCCUUCUCCUCCUUCAACCCACAUGAAAAAGUCAUUUGCCCAAGCUUUAAAAAACUCAAAUGACAUUGCACUAUCUCAGCUGCCUCAACCUUGCAUCAAAGGUGAAGCCAUUGCUAUCAAGAUCCCUGAAGAGGACUAUCAGGAAGGGGUCAAGAGAUGCAAAACUCACCUUCAUGGGAGGCUCAUUCUAGCUAAAGGAGAUGCUCCCCUAAAGUUCGAAGAGAUUAAGGCUAAACUAAGCUCUUUAUGGAGUAGCAUAGGUAAAUGGAGCAUGAUAUCCUUGGGAAGGGGAUACUAUGAUUUCUCAUUCUCAUCCCUGGAGGAUAUGCGAAGUGUUUGUGCUGUAGGGGCUUGGAAUCUUCGUCCAGGUUACCUUAGAUUGUACCUAUGGACACCUGAUUUUAACCCAGCACUGCAGAAGUUCUCUCAUGUUCAAUGCUGGGUAAAAAUAAUAGGUUUGCCUCAAGAGUAUUGGAGCCCUAGAAUCAUCUUCUCUAUUGCAGGGGGGAUAGGUGCUCCAAUCUCCCUGGAUGAUGCCACAAACAAUCGAGCUUUUGGACACUUUGCAAGGGUGCUAGUUGAUAUGGAUCUGAAAUCAGAGUUGCCCAACCAGAUCCUAGUGGAAAGAGAAGGCUAUGCUUUCUUUGUGGAACUUGAAUAUGAAAAGCUCCCUCAGUUCUGCACAGGUUGCCAAACAAUUGGUCAUCUGCAUUCCAAUUGGGCAUCUGUUCUUCAUUGUUUUUCUAACUAUUCCUAUGUUUCAGUAAUACCCAACAUGAGUUCUUUAUUCUAAGGGAAGAGGACCAUUAUCAAUUAUUUUUUUAGAUGGGAUGACAAGUCUGAGAAGUAUUUUUUUAAACUAGUAUAUUCCUAUCCUAAACCCUCUUGUUUUGAUCAUUAAGUAGAUCCCUUAGCCCUCACUUGAAACACACUAAAAAACACCAAAUAACUUAUUUUCUAACCACACAAAAACCAGUGUCAAACAAAUUGUCUAUACAAGUAUGUGCAACCAAUCUACAGUAGAUAGAAUAUGGGCUACCAAUCCAUUAGUGUCUAGCCUCACACUAUCCGGGAAUCCCGUCAUGGCUCUGAUAAUAAUAAAAUGUAACUAAUAAAUCUAAACAAUAAUAAUAACAUAUAAUAUUUUUUCUGUAAUAAAUAAAUAUAUAAAAUAGAGCUUGAACUAUAUAAACUCUUUCAUCUAUUAUCCGCAAUUAAUAUAAAGGUUUAUUAAAAAUAAUUAUAAUAAAGAUGGAGACAAGUUUAAGAUUUCAUCUAUAUUAUUGUAAUAUCUUUGAACAAACCUGAAACCAAGUUUUGUACGUUAAAAUUUAAUUAACAAUUAAAUAUUAAAAAACUUUUUGAAAUGAUGGUAACUAAUUUUAAAGAUAGGUAGUAUAAUUAAAUCUUUGAAAUAGGAAUCCAAACAUAGUAAUAAUAAAAGUAUUUUCUUCAGUAAUAAAUAAUGACUGUAAAAUCAAACAAAUAUGAAUAUUUUCUUAAUUGAUUUUAGGAAUAUAAAAAUAAUAGUAACGUUGAAGAUGUAGGAAGGGUUGUGAUGACUAACUUUCUUUUCUCAGCCCAUCCUUUGAAUGGUUGUUGAUAAAUCACAUAUAUUCUUUAAAAUAAUUAAAAGGAGCGAUCCAUCGACCUAUGGAUAAAAGUAUAUGUUAAACAAAUACUUUGAAAUUUAGAAAGGUUCAUAAUUGGUUUUUUUAAUGAAAUAGUCCUUUGUAAUAUAUUAUUUAAAUCAUUUUAUUGGUUGGUUGUGGUAUUUAAUAUGAAAUUAUAGUGAUAACAAUUAUUUAAAAACCAAUUUUUUAAUAAAGCUUGUUAAAAUCCACUUGUAAUGUACUUUUUUAUAGGAAAUUAACAGCAAACUUGUUUGGUUUGGACUAAAUUAAUUUAUAAUAUACAUAUAAUUUUAAUAAUAAUAAGAUUAUACUUUAUUAGAUUAUUUACAAAAGGGUUCAAAAAUAGUAGUAGUUUAUUAUAUUAUGAUCAUAAUUUAUGUUCUUUAAUAAUAUAGUUAUAAUAAAUUAUAAUUUAGUAGAUAUUAAUAUAUUAUAAUUUAUUAGAUAUAAUUUAUUAGAUAUUAAUAAUAUAAUUUAGUAGUAGUGAUAAUAUUAAGUGAUAUUAAUGCUUAUAUUGUGCAAAGAAAUAUUAGCAUUAAACCAUUUUUAUUAACGUUGUGUUUGUUGGAGAUGGCUAAGCUUACUGUAAUGCGUAUUUUCGCCCUUUUCCUUUUGCUUACAGGUUUAUUCUAAAUAGUGCAACAAUAUCUACUUUCUGAAUAUUUAUCUAUGUAUGAUUUGCAAAACUUAUCAUCGUUUAAUCACCAAUGCUACUUCUAUAAUUGAUAGGACACUUUGGUUUUUCUAUCACAUAAUAAGAGUAUAUUGUUUUAUAAAAUGAAAAGUUUUGUGACAUAUUAAAUUAAAAUUUGAUGAGAGUUAACAUGCCUAAAAUUAUAAUUCUUGCCUAUUGUGAACAAUCAUUUUUUCUGUCCCUGAAAAACACCGAAACGUUUUUAAAUAUAAAAUAUAGAAUUCCAAAAAUAAUUUUCCAAAAACAAUAAAACUAAACAUGUUAUGUUAAGGUUCCUAACUCUAAAUGAUUAGGUUAAUCAAAAUUGAAAUUUAAAAUAAUAACACUAAACCAUUUGUUAAAGUUCCUAAAUCUAUGUGAUUAGGUUAACCAAAAUUCAAGUUUAAAGUAAUUGAAUUCUCAAAGAAAAUGAUUUUUUUUAGAGUUAUUCUAAAAAUAAUAAUACUAAAUAAAUAAAAAUAAAAGCUGAGUGAAUUAAAGAGUUGAUUGUAUUAUCAUAUAAAUUUAAGAUUUGAAAUUAUGUAAUUUGAAUCACAUCAUAUCCAUUUUAUUAGUUGCAUGAAUCACCUUGAUAAUAACUAAAUCUUUAAAGAUUCAAAAAUCAAAUCAAGAUUACGAUAUGGAAAAACGCGAAUAAAAUCAAAUCAAAUUAGAAAGUUCAUAUCAAUCUAAUUGUGUUACAUAAAUCAAUUUGAUUAGAAAAUUAAACAUUUAGAGAUUUGGAAUCAAAUAAAUUAAGGUUGCCAAUCAAUCAAAUAAGCUUAAUAUCGCAAUUAGAAAAUAUGCAAAUCAAGUUAAGAUUGGAAAAUUUUAUAUCAAUCUGAUUGUGUUGCACAAAUAAUUUUGAUUGUAAUAAUUAAUCUUUAGAGAUUUGAUUCUAGGAAAAAUUAAUAUUUUAGAGAUUUGGAAUCAAUUAAAUUAAGUAUGCAAUCUGAGAAUAAGAAAAUUAAAUCAAACCAAAUCAAAUCAAGCACAUUUCAAAUCAAUUUUAUUAUGUUUUAAAUAUGAUUUAUUUCCGUUAACCUCCUUUAACCAAUUAAUGGAAAAUAUUCUCCUCGUUAAGCACAUGUGAUAAGUUAUAGUCUAUAAAUAGAGUGUCUUAUUCACCAAAGAAGAGGGUGGGUUCCACACAAAAAAGGCACUAAAAAGACAAGAAUUCCAUGUAAAAAUUACAACCAAGAAUUACACACAAAAAUCCCUCAAAAAAGAGCUCAUCAUACUAGUCCACAUAUGCGUUGACCAGCCACUCACAAGCAAUUAAAUCUUGAAACAUCAUACGAUUGUAGUACACUAUUUCGUUCCAAAUUACUACUCUCACAUGAACAUAAGAUUAUCCACGUCUAAGUGCACCCUUCCUCACCUAACGCAUGCAGAUCUACCAAGUGGUCAUAUUCUCCACUCUUUGCAGUGUUGGCCAAUCUGGUUCUGACAUGUCAUUGAGCCUAGUAAAUCAUUUGUCUUUCGUUUACAUUGUAUCCAUGCUCCUUUGCAAUCUUCAAAAAGUAAGUACCUUCAUUUUUCUAUAAUGUGUGUAUGAUAAUUGUACCAAAUUUUAUUGCCAUCAUUGAAGAAAUAAUUUUACUAAUAAUUUGUAUAAUAAUAUUAAUAAUAAUAUUGUCAUAUGAUAAAUUUUAUUUUUUAUAAUAGAAAGUCAAGAAUAUCUAUUACCUAGCAAUUACUUAAUAAGAUUUUUUUUUCAAAUCAAAUAAAUAUCACCAUAAAUUAAAUCAAAUAAAUGUCAACCAACAAAUCUUUUGUACUAAAGAACUACAUAAGCCUUGAUUCCCUUAGUAGGGAUACGUAUGACCAAAGUCAAUCUUGUCAGGCAGAAUAAUAAAAAUAAAUAAAUUUGUUUAUUUUAAUAAUUAAUUAAUUAACCAGAUAAUGUAAUAAUAAAUAACGAUAAUAAUAAAGUCAUGUAUUUUGGUGAAGGGUAUCGCCUAAGGUGGGCGGAUAGGGUGUUAAUACCUUCCCUACCUUGUAACUGACUCCGGAACCUGGAUAUUAAAAAUCCAAAAGCCCAAGGUAAUUGAGCUUAAAAUAUUUUUCUACAUUUUUAACUAUAAAAUAUAGUACUGAUCCUAAAUAAAUUCAUGUAGCCGAAAAUCGGGGUGUGACACCUAUGGUAACUUUGUUUUUGAACUUUCAAGUAUUUUCAUCACAAGUGAAGCAAAAAGAGUUGAGGCUCCUAAAAGAAAGACAACAAAGAUAUCUACAUGUGGUUGCAAUCCUACAAGAUGUCAAAGUGAUUGUGAAAUUAUGUAUGGUUCACGUCAUACUAAUAUAGUGGGAGAUUGUGUUUCCAACAAUUAUAAGUGUACUUAUGAUGAGUGAUAUGUUUGUACCCUUCUUAAUUGAAGAAUGAAUAAAAAAUGAUUCUCUAUUGAAUUGGAACCUUGGACUAUCUAAUUCUCACAUUCUCGUCUGUUGAUGAUCACUCAGAAGAAGAACAAUUGUUCACAGUAUCAUGCUUUGACACCAACAAUUCUAGAGAAAGUUUGCUCAUUGGUAGUGGUUGUACAAAUCACGUGACUUAUGAUCGAGAACUCUUUAGAGAGCUUCACAAAAAUGUUAUUUCCAAAGUCAGAAUUGAAAAUGGGGCAUAUAUUGCAACAAAAUGCAAAUGAACAAUUACAAUUAAUAGUUACACAGGUUUCAAAUUAAUUCAAGAUGUUUUAUAUGUUCCUAAAAUUAAUCAAAAUUUGUUAAGUGUUCCUCAUUUGAUGAAAAAAGGCUAUGAGAUUUUGUUUUGAAGAGAAAAGCUACAUGAUUAAAGAUUCAAAAGGUAGAGUGGUGUUCAAAAUUCAAAUGAAAGGCAAAAGUUUUGUCAUGGAUUUGAUGAAAGAUGAGCAAGUUGCAGUACACUAAGAAAAAAUAGAAACAAAGUCUCCUACAUGCAUUGUCUACCGAUAUGGGAAGCAUACAAGGCUUCAUUUUCUGCAGAAAAGGACAUGAAAUGCGACACAGAAGCUGGAAUUGAUACACACAAAUGUUGGAGGACCUAUGAGUACACCAUCAAAUGUUCCAAGUAUAGGAAUGGUUUUUUAAGGUGUGGACCUACAUUUGGGUCUAAUUUUUUGAAGAGGGAUUUAUCUUGGUGGAGAGAGUUAAGAAAUCUGAAUCUUACUAGAUAGGAGAAUGCUAGUGAUUGAGUUAGUAAGGGUACUAGAACAGGUCUUGCAUCAAAAGGGAUAUUAUGUUUUGGGAGGAUCUAUAAGUGGGAGAAGCAUAACUAAAAAUUUCUUUUACAAGAUUAUAUCAGUUAACUUUGAACAAAUCAUAAUUAGGGAGUCACAGGAAUGGAGGAACACGAGUAGAUGUGGAAAAUACAUUAGAGAAGGAGUCUCAUUCAUCGAGAGCAUGAGGAAGUUGAAAAACUGUAUCAUUUAUUAGCAUCAACAAGGCUUUCAACUGAAUGAAUUGAUACAUGAAUUUGGAUUCAUAACAAAUGAGACAAAUAUUCAGUCAAAAAUGCUUAUUAAUUACUUAUUGCUCUAAAAGGAGGAUAACUGUAACAAAUAUAUACUCGAGAAACUUCGGUCAAAGUAUAUACCGACAAAGAUGAUAUGUUUAUCUUAGAAGAUAAUCAUGAAAAAAUACUUCAAAAGUUGUAUUUACUAAGAAGAGCACCUUAAAUUCCAAUAUUUUGACAAGUUAUGCAUUAUGUGCAGGGUUGAAGGAAUCAGUCAACCCUAUCUUUCUCUAUUUCCCAAAAUCUUAUGACAUUUGACAAAAAAUAUAUUCUUGGUUUGACUUUUCUUUUACUAUUCACAAAGAUAUUAAAACACAUUUCCUAAACCAUGAAGAUUUAUUGCAUGUGACUAGGAGGGAGAGGGAAGCUUGAAUUUCUCUAUGGUUUAUCACUAUUUACAUGGCAUGUUAGAAAUUGGAUUGUAUUUGAGAAUUAUAUCUUCCACUUGAGUGAAAAGAUGAAGUUAAUUUAUCUAAACUCUUGGAAUCUAUUAAAAGCAAGAUUUGAGGGAUUUUCUUAUUCUUACACGGAAUGGUAUUAAACCAUUUGUUAUGUGUUUUUUGUGUUAGAUUUUUAUUAGAUUUGGUGGAUCGUUUUCCUUAACCGUUAUUUUUUUCAAUAAUAUUUUCUUUUGCCGAUAAACAAAGUGUAAAUAUAUAUACACACUCAGAACUAUUCAUUUGUAUAACUUUUUUAAGUCAAUGAUAAUUAUAUAUAUUAUAUAUAUAUUCAUUACAUCAUCCAUGUGUUCAUCGUGCAUGCAUUAUUUUUCUCUUCAAUAAUGGCCAAAAGAUUUUCGUUGAUAAUGGAGUAUAAAAUAAAUAAAGUCCAUGCAUGCAUGAAACCUAUUCCUCCCGUAAUUCUUUUCAACUAAUUCAUAUCCAUGAAAAAUUAUAAGACGAUGGUUUGGUUUAAUGAAGAUAAAAAAGACUUGGGAAAAGAAUGUAACAGGGAAAAGAUAAAGAAACAUAUGCAAACUUCAUUAUUACACAUGAGUCACUCAUAGUAGUGUUCUCGUACUUGUUUUCUAAGCAAAAAUCUCUUGAUAAAUGGAUAUAAAAUGGUACAUAAAGGGAUUUGGUAGAAGUCUAACUGAAGAUUUGUUUCUUCUAAUUUUUGAUUGGGAUAUUCAAGUUCCAUUGACAGAAGAGUUGUAUCCACAAUCUCUGAAAAAAAUUGGAAAAUACAUUAAGGAAGAAAAAUCACAUGAAAUAUAAAGAGUAAAUGAGAUCAACUUUAAUGAUGUUAUCUAGUAAUAUAAUUAUUAAGUAAUAAAUAACUACCUUUGAUUCCUCAAGAAGAGAAAAUAUCCAAAAUUUAUACUUAGAUCUUUGGUACCCACACAUAUCACACAACAUACAACAAAAACAUAUCAAUUACCAUAUGACCUUAUUGACAUUAUGCAAUUAAAAAGGGAGGAAGCCAUAGCAAACUAGGGAAGAAGAGGAGAAGAGAAAGGGGAGAGGACGUGCCAUAAGAGAAGAAAGAAGAUAAAUUAGGGAUUUGCCCCCACCCCAAUUACUUGAAUUUUUUUAUUCCUUUCAUUUUGCUUUUAUUUUAAUUUAAUUCUUUGUUUAUUCAUUUAUUUGUUUUGUUUAAUUGCAAUCAUUUAUCUAUUUCUGAUUUUCAUUCAAUUUUUAGCAAUAUUUGGUAUCCCAUUAAAGUGUACGCAAUCUAUGCUUUUAUUUUAAUUUAAUUUUUAGAUAUGGUACAUACAUUAGCUUUGUUACGUCUUCUAUCUCAUAAACAAUUCAAAUUCAAUUAUUUCAAAAGUCUAUUUAAGAUUUAGUGCGAUGCGGACAUUAGCUUUUGCUGCUUCACCUAUCUUAAAGACGAUAGAAAAUCAAGUUAUAUUUCUACCAAACAAAACCAAACCAAACCAAACCAAACCAAACAAAACAAAUUAACCAAAUUUUGAACCAGAACUACGUAGUCUUGAUUUCCUAUUGCACCUAGGGAUAUGUUGGAGUAAGAUAACCUCUUGUUAGACACAACAAUAAAAAAUAAAAUAUUUUGUUUCAAUAGUUGAAUCUUAAUAAAUAAAGUUUUUUAAGGGUAUAAAAGUUCAUGUUAUCAGUGACGGGACCGCUUUAAUACGGAUGGACGAGGUUCUAAUACCUUCCCUGAUCCGUAAUCUACUCUCGAGCUCAAAAUCUUUGUUUAAAGAUCAUUCUUAUCCAAUUCAGGCAUCAAUCUUUGUUUAAAGAUAAUUUUUAAUUCUUAUUUUUUUAUUCUUGUUCACAUGUCCUAAUAGUACUCAGACAUGUGCUAUUUGUUGUUUUUGUUCUUGUUCCCUAGCUUCACAGGUACCCCAACCAUCAUUAUUUGUUGUCUUUUUAUAUAGCUCACAAGUUCAGAUAGUAAAUCGACCUAUUUUCUUGGAUGUUUUUAUUAUUGUCCCCAAAUUUUGGAUAUACCCCAACCUGUUUUCUUGGUUGUUCUUAUUCCUGUUCCCGAGCUCAAGAAUUAAUUGGACAUUCAUUCUUCUUUGUUUUUCUUACUAUUCCUAUGUUUCAACAGUACCCGGCGUGAUUUCUUAAUUCUAGGUAAUGAGGAACAUAUUCAAUUUUUCUUUUAAAAUUGGAUGACAAGUCUUAGAAGUAUUUUUUAAAACUAGUAUGUUCCUAUCCUAAACUCUCGUAUUUUGAUCUUUAAGUAGAUCCCUUAGCCCGCACUUCAAACACACUAAAAAACACCAAAUAACUUAUUUUCUAACAACACAGAAAUUAGGGUCAACCUAAUUGUCUCUACAAGUAAGUGCAGCCAAUUUGCAGUAGACACAAUAAGGGCAACGAAGCCAUUAGUGUCUAGCCUCACAUUGUCCGUGGAAUCCUGUCGUGACUUUGAUAAUAAUAAAAUGUAACUAAUAAAUCUAAACAAUAAUAAUAACAUAUAAUACGAUUCUAUAAUAAAUAAAUAUAUAAAAUAGGGCUGGAACUACAUAAACUCUUUCAUCUAUUACCAACAAUUAAUAUAAAGGUCUAUUAAAAUGAAUUAUAGUAAAGAUGAAGACAAGUUUAAGAUUUAAUCUAUACUAUUAAAAUAUCUUUGAACAAACAUGAACUUAACUUUUGUUCGUUAAAAUUUAAUUAAAAAUUAAAUAUUAAAAAAAAACAAUUUGACAUAAUAAUAACUAAUAUAAAAGAAAGAUAGUAUAAUUACAUCUUUGACAUAGAAACCCAAACAUAGUAAUAAUAAAAGUAUUUUCUUCAGUAAUAAGUAAUGACUGUCAAAUCAAACAAAUAUGAACAUUUUUUUUUUUAAUUAUUUAAGGAAUAAAAAAAUAAUAGUAACAUUGAAGAUGUUGGAAGGGUUGUGAUGACUCACUUUCUUUUCUCAGCCCAUUCUUUGAAUGACCAUUGAUAAAUCACAUCUAUUCUUUAAAAUAAUUAAAACACAAACAACCAAUCAAACAUUUUUUGCCAAGAAUCACUUAGUCGUAAUUUCCAAUUGCACAUGAGCAUACUCAUGACCUAGAUAAACUCAUGUGAAAAUUCUAUUAUAUCUUUUAUAAAUAAAUAGAUAAUUAAAAAUAAUAAUAAAACAAGUUAAAUGUAUAAUAUUAUCCAUUAUAUUAACUACUUCCUUUCCCAAUCCAUAAUCGUCUCCCGAUCAUAGAACUCUUGUUUAAGGACCAAAACAUUAUGAUAAUUACGUAUAAGGAGAGUUUUCUAGCUUUUGUUCGUAAGAAUGUAGUGGCAAUUCCAAAUCUUUUAGAAGAUAGUAUAAUUUUCCUUCACAUUUUUCAUAAGUUGUAUAAUAGGUGUUAACCAAAAAUUAGGAUGUGACAAGUAUAAUUGAAUAUGUUUGAAAUUUAAACUUUUUAUUUGUAUAUAAAUUUGAUUAAAUACAUAUGAAAGGAAUAUUUAUGAGCAAGUCGUUUAUCCAAUAUUUGGGAAAAUCUACACCCCAAUGUAUCUUACAUAUCAAACCCUAAUUCUCAAUCCCAAAAGGGGACACUUAGUAGGUAAGAGAGGGUGAUAGUAUUACAUUGAAUAUAAUUAGUCACCCAAACAAAAGGAGCGAUCCAUUCACCUAUGGAUAAAAGUAUAUGUUAAACAAAUACUUUGAAAUUUAGAAAGGUUCAUAAACGGUGUUCUUUUUAAUGAAAUAUUCAUUUAUAGUAAGUUAUUUAAAUCAUUUUAUUGGUUGGUUGUGGAAUUUAAUUUGAAAUUAUAGUAAUAAUAAUUAAUUAAAAAUCAAUUUUGUAUUAAAACUUAUUAAAAUCAACUUCUUAUGUACUUUUUACAGGAAAUUAACAGCAAAUUUGAUUGGUUUGGACUAAAUUAAUUUAUAAUAUACAUAUAAUUAUAAUAAUAAUAAGAUUAUACUUUAUUAGAUACUUUACAAAAGGGUAAAAAAGAGUAGUAGUUUAUUAUAAUAUAAUCAUAAUUUAUGUUUUUUAAUAAUAUAGUUAUAAUAUAAUUAUAAUUUAUUACAUAUUAAUAUAUUAAUUUAUAAUAUUAGAAUUGUAAUUUUUAUAUGUUUUUAAGUCAAAGCAAUUAGUGUUAUUGAUAUCUUGCUAUCACUUUGUCACUAUAUAAAUGAGUAGUCUCACCUUCCACUACUAUGCUUAUAUUGUGCAAAGAAACAUUGGGAUUAAAUCAUUUUUAUUGACGUUGAGUUGUGUUUGUUGGAGAUGGCUAAGCUUACUUUAAUGCAUAUUUUCGCUCUUUACGUUUUGGUUGCAGGUAUAUUUUAGAUAGUGUAACAAUAUCUGUUUUCCUGAUAUUUAUCUAUGUUUAAUUUACAAAACUUAUCACAGUUUAAUCACCAAUGCUAUUUGUAUAAUUGAUGUGACACUUUUGUUUUUAUAUCACAUAAUAAUAGUACAUUGUUUUAUAAAAUGAAAACUCAUGUGACAUAUUAAAUUAAAAUUUGAAGAGAGUUAGCCUGCCUAAAAUUAUAAUUCUUGCAUGUCGUAACUUUGUUUCUAAAAUUUCAGGUAUUUUCAACACGAGUGAAGCAAACGCCAGUAGUAUGGGGCUACCUAGAAGAAGGCCAGUAAGGCUUUCUACAGGUGGUUGCCAUCCUCUAAGAUGUCCACGUGAAUGUGAAAAAAAGUAUGGUGGCACUUAUUAUAAUAUACGGGGUGAUUGCGUUAACAACAAUUGCAUGUGUACUUAUGAUGGCUGAUAUGUUUGUACCCUUCUUAAAUGAAGAAUGAAUAAAAACUGAUUAUAUAUUGAAUUGGAAA